RNAcentral lists this ribosomal RNA (253 nucleotides) under uncultured bacterium. Its description in RNAcentral is "partial 16S ribosomal RNA". It matches the Rfam family "Bacterial small subunit ribosomal RNA", at positions 524 to 776 of the family's 1533-position model. The record is from RNAcentral.
UACGUAGGGUGCAGGCGUUAAUCGGAAUUACUGGGCGUAAAGCGUGCGCAGGCGGCUUCCUAAGUCAGAUGUGAAAUCCCCGGGCUCAACCUGGGAACUGCGUUUGAAACUGGGAGGCUAGAGUGCGGCAGAGGGGGGUGGAAUUCCACGUGUAGCAGUGAAAUGCGUAGAUAUUCGGAAGAACACCAGUGGCGAAGGCGGCUCACUGGCCCGGUACUGACGCUGAUGUGCGAAAGCGUGGGGAGCAAACAGG